RNAcentral lists this ribosomal RNA (1320 nucleotides) under metagenome. RNAcentral's name for it is "bacterial LSU rRNA". It matches the Rfam family "Bacterial large subunit ribosomal RNA", at positions 1564 to 2892 of the family's 2925-position model. The record is from RNAcentral.
UGAAUACGAGACGCUAAGGCGUCGAAGUAGUGUAUGUCAUACUUCCAAGAAAAGCUUGCACUGUCAUAAGUAAAAAAUGCCUGUACCAUAACCGACACAGGUGGGUAGGUAGAGUAUACUAAGGGGCGCGAGAUAACUCUCUCUAAGGAACUCGGCAAAAUAACUCCGUAACUUCGGGAGAAGGAGUACCUUAUUCUAUAAGGUUGCAAUAACAAGAUCCAAGCAACUGUUUAUCAAAAACACAGGUCUCCGCUAAGUCGUAAGACGAUGUAUGGGGGCUGACGCCUGCCCAGUGCCAGAAGGUUAAAGAAGUCGGUUAGCAUUAGCGAAGCUGGUAACUGAAGCCCUGGUGAACGGCGGCCGUAACUAUAACGGUCCUAAGGUAGCGAAAUUCCUUGUCGGGUAAGUUCCGACCCGCACGAAAGGCGUAAUGAUUUGGAUACUGUCUCGGAGAGGGGCUCGGUGAAAUAGACUUGUCUGUGAAGAUGCGGACUACCUGCACCAGGACAGAAAGACCCUAUGAAGCUUUACUGUAACUUGAAAUUGAAAUUGGACUUUAUUCGCGCAGUAUAGGUGGGAGGUGUUGAUUAUAAUCUUGCGGGAUUAUUGGAGCCAUCAGUGAGAUACCACUCUUGUAAUGUUAGAUUUCUAACUUUGAAUCAUUAUCUGGUCAAAGGACAGUUUCAGGCGGGCAGUUUGACUGGGGCGGUCGCCUCCCAAACGGUAACGGAGGCGUACAAAGGUUUCCUCUGAACGGGUAGAAAUCGUAUCUAGAGUGUAAAGGCAUAAGGAAGCUUGACUGUGAGACCUACAAGUCGAACAGGGACGAAAGUCGGUCUUAGUGAUCUGACGGUACUGAGUGGAAAGGCCGUCACUCAACGGAUAAAAGUUACUCUAGGAUAACAGGCUGAUCUCCCCCAAGAGUUCACAUCGACGGGGAGGUUUGGCACCUCGAUGUCGGCUCAUCGCAUCCUGGGGCGGUAGUACGUCCCAAGGGUUGGGCUGUUCGCCCAUGAAAGCGGUACGCGAGCUGGGUUCAGAACGUCGUGAGACAGUUCGGUCCAUAUCCGGUGUAGGCGUUAGAAUAUUGAGAGGAGCCUUCUUUAGUACGAGAGGACCGAGAAGGACAUACCUCUGGUGUACCAGUUAUCGUGCCAACGGUAAACGCUGGGUAGCUAUGUAUGGAGUGGAUAACCGCUGAAAGCAUCUAAGUGGGAAGCCCACCUCAAGAUGAGUGCUCUCACAGGGUUAACCUGGUAAGGUCACGGGAAGACCACCCGUUAAUAGGCACUAGGUGGAAGUCCAGUAAUGGAUGGAGCC